GUCUAUGGCCAUACCACCCUGAAUGCAUUGGAUCUUGUCUGAUCUUGGAAGCUAAAGCAGGGUCAGGCCUGGUCACUACUUGGUUGAGAGACUGCCUGGGAGUAUCGGGUGCUGUAGCCU
Molecule: ribosomal RNA, 120 nt
Filed under: Prolemur simus (greater bamboo lemur)
Lineage: Eukaryota; Metazoa; Chordata; Mammalia; Primates; Lemuridae
Source: RNAcentral